Gossypium arboreum is the source of this 145-nucleotide non-coding RNA. The record is from Rfam. Lineage: Eukaryota; Viridiplantae; Streptophyta; Magnoliopsida; Malvales; Malvaceae.
UAUUUAAAUUUUCAUCCAGUUGUACUGUUAAAAAUUGGCUUGGUUAACAAAAUAACCAAAUAAUGACACGUUGCUUGCCACGUGUCUCCCAUGCUGACAUACAUGAACCAAUUUUUAACAAUAGAAAUUGAUGGAAAUUUGAACA